GAUGAACGCUGGCGGCGUGCCUAAUACAUGCCAGUCGAGCGAACAGAUGAGGAGCUUGCUCCUCUGACGUUAGCGGCGGACGGGUGAGUAACACGUGGAUAACCUACCUAUAAGACUGGGAUAACUUCGGGAAACCGGAGCUAAUACCGGAUAAUAUAUUGAACCGCAUGGUUCAAUAGUGAAAGACGGUUUUGCUGUCACUUAUAGAUGGAUCCGCGCCGCAUUAGCUAGUUGGUAAGGUAACGGCUUACCAAGGCAACGAUGCGUAGCCGACCUGAGAGGGUGAUCGGCCACACUGGAACUGAGACACGGUCCAGACUCCUACGGGAGGCAGCAGUAGGGAAUCUUCCGCAAUGGGCGAAUGCCUGACGGAGCAACGCCGCGUGAGUGAUGAAGGUCUUCGGAUCGUAAAACUCUGUUAUUAGGGAAGAACAAAUGUGUAAGUAACUAUGCACGUCUUGACGGUACCUAAUCAGAAAGCCACGGCUAACUACGUG
Molecule: ribosomal RNA, 497 nt
Filed under: uncultured bacterium
Lineage: Bacteria
Description: partial 16S ribosomal RNA
Rfam family: Bacterial small subunit ribosomal RNA
Source: RNAcentral